Long non-coding RNA from Nicotiana attenuata, 2579 nucleotides. RefSeq lists it as uncharacterized. The record is from RefSeq and is a predicted model, not a curated record. NCBI's taxonomy places the organism in Eukaryota, Viridiplantae, Streptophyta, Magnoliopsida, Solanales, Solanaceae. The transcript is spliced from 4 exons.
UACACCCAGUCGUUUCCCCAUUUAGUUUUAGGUUUAGAAAUCUAAAAUCCACCAUUUUCAAACCUUACUUCAACUUAGAUAGACCAUAGACAAAUCUCUCCAGCUCUCUCGCUGUAAGUUGCGCCUGGCUUCUAGCUUUUGCCUUCUCUCGCGGUUCGCAGUAGAUGGCAGAGAUUCAAAGUAAAAUAGGUGAAAAUGGAGGUUCAAAUGAAACCACAGCUACAAGUGAAGUUGAUUCAGUUUUAAGCAAUAAAAGGAAAGGCAUGAAAGAAAGAUCUGUUGUGUGGGAACACUUUCAAAAGCUGGUUGAUGGUCCUAAUGGGGUAACAAUUGUAAAAUGUAAAUACUGUGAUUUUACGAAGGAAGAUUUUAAUAUCAAAAAUGGCACGUCGGGAUUGAAAGGUCAUAUGAGCAGGUGAGUGAAAUUUCCCUAUAAUGUUGAAACAAAUCAAAGAUUGAUAGGCUUUCAACCAAUUUCAGGUGGUAAAAAGGAUGUGGGAAUUCCCGUCUCUUGGAAAUUUGAUCAAGAACUUUGCAGAAGGGCUUUAGCUAAAAUGAUAAUUCUUGAUGAGCAACCUUUUAGCCAUGUUGAAAAAAAAGGUUUUAAGAACUUUGUGAGUUCUUUAUGUCCUCAAUUUCGGGUUCCUUCCCGUCAUACAGUGACUAGGGAUUGUUUUGAGCUUUAUGGUGAAGAGAAACAGAAACUCAAGAAACUUUUCAAAGAAACAAAACAAAGAGUUUGUCUUACUACAGAUACAUGGACCUCAUUACAACAGAUCAAUUAUAUAUGCAUUAUGGCUCACUUUAUCGACAAGGAUUGGAAGAUGCACAAAAAAAUAAUAAACUUUGUCCAAUUACUAGUCAUAAAGGUGAUGAUAUAGUAAAUGUUAUUGCUAAGUGUUUGCUUGAUUGGGGUUUAGAUAAGAUCUUCACUGUUAAAAUGAUAACGCAAGUUCAAAUGAUGUCACAAUGAAAGAGUUGUCUAAGCAACUUACCAAAUGGGGAACUAAUUUGAUGGAGGGUAAACACCUCCAUAUGAGAUGUAUGGCUCACAUCCUCAAUCUUGUUGUUCAGAAUGGUUUGAAAGAAGUGGGUGAUUCUGUGAAACGCGUUAGACAAGCAGUAAGAUAUAUUAGGCAAUCUCCUGCGAGGUGGAAAAAGUUUAAAGAAUGUUGUGAAAUUGAAAAGAUUGCAUGUAAGAAAUCACUAUGUUUGGAUGUUCCUACUAGGUGGAACUCCACCUACUUGAUGUUAAAUGUGGCAAAAGAAUUCGAGCAUGCAUUUGCAAGUUAUGGUACUCUUGAUCAUGGACUGUUGCAUUAUCUUCUUACUCAUGUGUGUGAAGAUGGAAAAUCAGUAGGUUCACUUGUAAGUUCUGAUUGAGAAAGUGUGAGGCUCAUGGUGAGAUUUCUUGAAACUUUUUUUUUUGUACUUACCUUGAAGAUCUCUGGUUCACUUUAUGUUACAUCAAAUGUUCAUUUUGUUGAAAUAUGUGAACUUCAUUAUAAUUUCAAAAAGUUUGAUAGCAGAAGAUAACGUUGACUUGAGUUCAAUGGCAGGAAAGAUGAAAGAAAAAUUUGACAAGUAUUGGGGUACUCCAGAAAAGAUGAAUAAGAUGAUCUUUAUUGCGUGUAUUUUGGAUCCGCGCCAUAAGUUUGAGUAUGUUACUUAUGCACUUGUGAGCAUGUUCGGGGAAGAAACAAGAAAAAAUAUAGUAGGAGAAGUGGAAAGCUACAUGACUUCUUUGUUUAAUGAGUAUGCAAAGAAACACUCAAAAAACGAUCAUGCUUCAUCUUCUACAUCAAGUAGCUCCUCACAGACGUCAAGUGCAAGUAGUCAUGGAACUCAAUCUAAAACUUCAAAGGCAACAUUUUCACAACAAUACAAGAGGCACAAAGCUGAAAAUGGAAAUUCAGAUGCUAAAACAGAGUUAGAGAAGUAUCUAGAUGAAGAAUGUGAUGAUGGAGGUGAUGGUUUUGAUAUCUUGCUUUGGUGGAAAGUGAACAAACCUAGAUUUCCAAUGUUGCCGAGAUUGCUCAUGAUGCUUUGGCAAUUCAUGUGUCUAGUGUGGCAUCAAAGAGUGCUUUUAGUACGGGAGGCCGUAUUCUUGAUUGUUUUAGGAGCUCACUGACUCCCAAAUUAGUACAAGCUCUUGUGUGUUGUCAAGAUUGGCUUCGAAAUGAAUUACUUCCUGUUAGAGUUGAGGAAGAUAUAGAUUAUCUCGUGCAAUUUGAACUUGGCUUGCCCAAUGGAGCAGAGCCUUGCAUCGUUGAUGUAUAGUUGUUAAUUGCAACAUAUAUGCACGAAGUUACCAGAGAGCUUCAGGAGAAAUCUAGUUCCAUGUUAUUUUGUUAAAGCCUGUGCACCACCUAUUUUUGUCUAUGUGGUUAAUGGAUGUUAUACAGAAUGGUUUCUGUAAACAACACUUGUGAAAUACUUAUUUUGGUCACAUUUUGAGAAGCUUACUGGUGUCUGGUGCAUUCUUUAUGAUGAUGCAAGUUAGAGCUUUAGAGCAGACAUAUUUACAUAUUGAUGAAGUUUGUAAACAUUAUUCUAAUCUUAUGCUCCUCUUUAUAGAA